AUUGAACGCUGGCGGCAGGCCUAACACAUGCAAGUCGAACGAGUGGCGGACGGGUGAGUAAUGUCUGGGAAACUGCCUGAUGGAGGGGGUUAACUACGGGAAACGGUGGUUAGUACCGCAUACCAUCGGAUGUGCCGACAUGGGAUUAGUUAGUCGGUGGGGUAAAGGGUCCCCUAGGCGACGAUCCCUAGCUGGUCUGAGAGGAUGACCAGCCACACUGGAACUGAGACACGGUCCAGACUCCUACGGGAGGCAGCAGUGGGGAAUAUUGCACAAGGGGCGCAAGCCUGAUGCAGCCAUGCCGCGUGUAUGAAGAAGGCCUUCGGGUUGUAAAGUACUUUCAGCGGGGAGGCGUUACCCGCAGAAGAAGCACCGGCUAACUCCGUGCCAGCAGCCGCGGUAAUAC
This 406-nucleotide ribosomal RNA is filed under the name uncultured bacterium. Its description in RNAcentral is "partial 16S ribosomal RNA". It matches the Rfam family "Bacterial small subunit ribosomal RNA", at positions 30 to 526 of the family's 1533-position model. The record is from RNAcentral.